This 344-nucleotide long non-coding RNA is filed under the name Pan troglodytes (chimpanzee). RNAcentral's name for it is "long non-coding RNA NONPTRT009471". Lineage: Eukaryota; Metazoa; Chordata; Mammalia; Primates; Hominidae. The record is from RNAcentral.
AACUUAUAGUUAUUAAUACAUAUUUGAUAGCUUAUUAAAUACUUUCAAUGUUUAGUCUAGUCAUUCAAUUAAAAAAAUUAUACAUAGUACCAAGGAGUUAGCAAUAAACUUUUUUUUUUCUUUUUUUUGAGACAGGGCCUUGCUCUGUCACCCAGGCUAGAGUGCAGUGGCACAAUCAUAGCUCACUGCAGCCUUGAUCUCCUGGGUUCAAGUGAUUCUCCCACCUCAGCCUCCGAAGUAGCUGGGAGGUUUUAAAGGAGAGAAUAAUGUGGAAAGGAAAAAAGAGAAGAAGCACAACCCAAAGGGGUUGGCCGGGCCUAUGGUUGGAAUGAGGAAGGGUGUGG